Non-coding RNA from Microcebus murinus (gray mouse lemur), 5371 nucleotides. NCBI's taxonomy places the organism in Eukaryota, Metazoa, Chordata, Mammalia, Primates, Cheirogaleidae. The record is from RefSeq and is a predicted model, not a curated record.
UCCUCCUGCCUCAGCCUCCCAGAGUGCUAGGAUUGCAAGUGAGAAAGCAGAUGGCUGAAAUCCUGAUGUGAUGUGGCUGGAUAAUUCUGAAGACCCUGUGGUGGUGACUGUGGGACUGUAAAACAAACUGAGCAAUCCAGAAGCAGCAGUUAGGCAAAAACCAUGCCUUGCUUCCCUGGUGUGAUCUAUCACAGAGCUCACUAGGUGGGCUCAAAGACACACCUGUCUUCCCAAUGUGGGAAAGUGGAUAUAGGUCUCCUCAGGGGCAUGAUGUUGAACAGCUCUUACAAGCUUCUGAAAGCACCCAAAAAAUAGAGAAACUACUUUCUACAAAACUUUGAAGACAAGGAAUAACACAGAGACAUUUGCUUUCUUCAACUAGAUGUCUGUUUUUUUAAUAAUGGGAAACAAUGAGAAAUGAUUUUUCACAAUGUCUCCUUAGCCCUGAGGCUCAACCAGCCCCUACUACUGUGUCUCUCAAUUUGAAGGGCCAUUGAAUUCCCACUCCAUGCCAUAUACUCCAGAUAUACAUGGAAUCGGUGUUUGAAAUUUUAUAUUCAGGAAAAACUGGUUUGAUAAAAUAUUGAAACAAAAUACUUGUGAACAGAUAGACAAAAAAUUCUGUCCUGAUUGUGACAUAAUCAAUUUUCACAACCCCAUGUUAUUCAGAGUGCUCUGAUAUUCCCUGUUAUCAACACUGUGUGCAUGGCAUCUUUUUACUGCUAAAGGACACAGUUCAGAGCAUGGUCUACGUGGCUAUUUGCUCUGGUGAGCGGAAUGUGUCCUCUUGGAGCCCAGCAACUGUCUUGGGAGAAUUCCAGCAUUGUGGUAACACAAUAUGGUGUCUGUGUGUGUGUGCACGUAUGUGUGCAUACGCUGACAGCCCCAUUUUCCUCUGCUUCCUCUGUCCCUUUGUGUCUUUGCAUCCUGUCUUGCCUCCCUUCCUAAAUUCAGGCUUAGAAGUAAAGGAAGGAAAUUAUCAGGAGGGCAGUCCUUGUAACCAGACCCUUGUCAACAUCCUUCACUGUGUCCUGAAGAUAAACAUGUAAGAGGAAGUGCUGAUGUGAAAGGUAUGCACCUAUGUAGCCCUUGAUAAGUAUUGGUCUACAGACACUCAUAAAAGUAGUUCCAUUUAGACUUCCCAAGUGGAGACAGGAGAGAAAGGCCCCAGAGGAGUGAAGAAAGUACUAAUGCUGAUGUGAUGAUGCAGAGGGAAGGCCCCUCAACUCUGUGGUAGACAAACAUGUUGGUCAUUACUGUGAUACAACGGAAGACCAGGCCAAUAUCAUUUUUUAACAGCUUUCUUGCAAUUAAACUUAUAGACAAUAAAAUUCACACAUCUAAAGGAUAUAAUUUGAUGAAUUUUAGUAAAUGUAUACAAUUGUGUAAGCAUCACCAGUAUAGAGUUUUAGAUGUUUUCAUCACAAAAAAACUCCCAUUAUGCUUGAAUGCAGUUAAUCUCUGCCACCACCUGCACCCCUAGGCAAUCACAGAUAUGUUUUGUGUGUCUAUUCUAGACAUUUGUCUGUUCUAGACAUUUCAUAUAAUUGUGAUAAUACACUGUUUUGUCUUUUGUAGGUGACUUUCUUCACCUAGUAUAACAUACUCAAUGUUCAUUCAUGUUGUACCAUGUGUCAGAAUUUUAUUCCUUCUAAUAACUGAAAAAUAUUCUAGUAUGGGGAUAUACCACAUUUUGCUUAUCCAUUCAUGAGUUUAUGGGCACUUGGGUUGUUUCCAGUUUUUGGUUAUUAUGAAUGAUGAUUCCAAAUACAUUAGUGUACAAGUUUUUAUAUAGACAUAUAUUUUUAUUUCUCUCGGGUAUGCAUCUAGGAGUGGAAUUGCUGGGUCAUGUAGUAACUCCAUUUUGAAUGGUUUGAGGAGCUGCCACACUGUUUUCAUGACUCUGACAGUCUUCAUGAGUACAAGCUUAGUUAGUUCUUUUUCUCCUUUAGACUGGCGUUACAGCUUUGGGAACAAAUACUACAGAGUUGAAAUUCCCUUCUUAUCACAUCAUAUUUGGGAGUAUGUGAUGCUCAGAUGGUGUCACUGAUGAUGUUAACCUUCAUCUCUUGUUUAAGGUGGGGUUUGUCAAGUUUCUCCAGUUUUUCUAGUACAGUAACUAUUUUCCAUUCCCUACUUUGUUCUUCAAAAGUGAGUCAAUGAUCGGGGGUGGAAUUAACCUUAACCUUAGGGAAGGCAGAUAGCUACAUACAUUAUUUAGCAUUAUUUGAUCAAGACAAUUUGUCUCCUCUCACCCAUUUAUUUUUUCAAACAUUUAUUUGUAUCAAUAUGGAUUUGUGUGAACUAAUUUUGGGUUAUUUUGCUGAGGGCAUACAUUCCAAAAGAAACUGCAGCAUCCUGAUUUCUGCAGUGCAGCCUAGAACGUGAGGGCCCAGGGAGAUUAGAACACUCAGAUUCCUGACAGCUUCAGGACACAAAGCUUUAGUGAAAUUCCAGGCUCCAUUACUGAGCAGGCAUUAACAAUACAGUUUCCCUGACUUACAUCCCCUCUCCUGACUUCCUAUAACCUGAUGUAAAAUGGGCAUUUAAUUAUGUUACAAAGGUUAUAUACAGGAGAUAUAAUUUAGAAUACCAUUGGGUUACAUUAGUUUUAAAAAACAUUAAUAUGCUACUUUCCCAGAAGAACUACCUGUUGUUGUGACUGAGUCCCCUGUCUGCCACCUUAAACGCCAGUGAUUCACAGUCUCCAAGGUCUCUUGCCCCAGGGAGAGGAUUUCUCUUCCACCAUCAUUAUCAUCAUCGUCAUCACCCAGAGGGUUCAUUGAGUGAACAUUCAUGGGAGAGUGUGAAAUGACUGGUCCCUAAGCCUUGAUGGCCCUUCAUCUAUAGAAAUCAGGGGGCAUGUGAAAUGUUUCCCAACCUUCCUUCAUUAUCCAAAGCAGCCUUUUUAGAUGUUUUUGCCUCCUCAUUAAUCCCUUCCUGCUUGACAAAUGAAAUGUUAAUACCACAGAUAGAAACUGUUUAUGUAUUUUGGUCCUAUGUAGUACCACAAAUGAUUGUAAUGUCUACCAUAUUCCUACCCUCAAAACCCAAUAUUCAGCCCCUUAAGAGGGAUAUUGCACCUAUUGAGAAUACAUGGAACAAUGUGAUGAGGGCAAAAUCUGGAAUUCUGUUCCUGUCCCUUAAUUGAUGUGUGACACUGGAAUCCUUUCUUUGCCUCUGUCAGCCUGCCCUUGGUCAUCUGUAGAAGGGGACUCACAAUGCCUUCCUUAGGAAACUGUUCUGUGGGGAAAAUAAGAAAUCCUGUACAGAGUAGAUGGUACCUGGUAGAACUUCAACAAAUGGUCAUCCUGGCCCACUUUUCUCCUCCCUCCUGGAGAAGUGAUGACUGUUACCUAAACCAAACAGCAUAAUUGCCAUAGAGACCACCGGGAAAUGUAGUAGUAAGAAGUAACACAUGCUCACACUUACAUUAUGAAUAAAGAUUUGGAGCCAUUUCUGUAUUGCAGGAAGACUUUGCUUAGGGAUGUGGGAAGAGGGAAAAGAUCAUGAAUCCAUUUCCUUUAAUUCCAGAUCAUUUUCUGCCCCCUUAUUUGAGCUUCUAGAUUGAUAUUGGAAAAGCAGUUUCCCACUGAGCCCCAAAUGAAGAGAGAACAGAUGAAGGGGAGGCAGGAGUCACAGCCUUUGACCCUUAUACCGAAUCCACUACCACCUACACUGGGAUUCCACCUGCACCUUCAACUUCUUCAAAGAGAAGAGGGUUGUUAAGACCCCGAGUGGCUCAAGAGACAAGCUGGGAUGGCAAUGGAGGACAGUGUCCGGCUGGAAGGCCAGCUCUGCUCCACCUCACAAAGCUGCCUCUUCUAAAUGCUGGGAUCAGGUGAGCAACUCUCAGAGCCCUUGUAUGCUCCUCCUUCAUAGUACUGUUGUGCAAAUUCAGGCAAGGUGACAUUGUGGAAGUGCCUGGCUCCUAUUAAGUACUUGUGAAAUGUGAUACACAAAAUGGCAUCACUCUGGUUCAGAGCUCUAAAAUAAAGUCGAAAAGUUAUUCUAAGAAGGACUACCUACACAACCUGCAACCUUGCAAAAAUAAAACUGGGACUUGCCUCAAAUCUUUGGACUGGGCCAAACUGCUAAGACCACAACAUCCUGGAAAACAGAUGAAUUUCACCAGUGCUACAACUUCUGAACAGCGACAACCAGUGAGCUGUGAACUCAUAUACUAAGCCAGCAGCCUCUACCAAUAAUAAUUUUUUCAAAACAACUCGUGUAAUUACCCUUAUCUUCCUUUUAAAAAUCCUUACUCCCCUUUUCUCUCUUCAGGACAUGAUUUGGCCUUUCCCAAAUCUUUGUUUCCUGAAUUGCAAUUCCUGAGACCACCAAUAAACACCUUGCCUUACUGCUUUGCAGUCUGGUCUCUCACCUCUUCUUGGUUGACAUACUCAAGCAAUUGUGUGAAAAAGAAAGUAGAAGGAGAAGUCAAAUUUCUUAAUUGCCAUUUCAUUUCCCUGGUAUCUUGGUUAGGGGGCAGGAGCAUUGCAGUCAUUAAAAUAAGGUAAACUUCAGUGUGUGCUACUACUGCAGAUUGUUGGCAUAAUGGUUAGAAAAACAAAUUUAGAAAGAAAAGGAGGAAAGCAAGCCAAGUUGAAGCUAUGGUUCCCAAAUUCACAGCACAAUUGAGGAUGUGAAUAUAGUAGAGGAAAGUGGAAGAUGGGAGGGUUAGAGGAGCAGACUGAGGCCUUACAGCUGUACUCUCUGGUGAGGCUGCUGGCUCACUCCUUGGCUCUGUAGUGAGCACAUCUGGGGACAGCCAGUCAGUCCUUAGAGCUAGGGAUCAAAGGGGGACUUGUCCCAAGCCAGGAGCCACAAUCAGGUAGAUCAGAUAGGACCAGCAGCUGGGCUGCUGAAGGGCUGAGCACCGGGAGCCCUGCAGACUGCGGGCAGGCAGGCUGAGGCUCAGGGCCUGAGACUGAGGUGAGGUUGGAACCCAAGGGAACCGCUUUGAAGGAUUCUUGUUAUUUAAAUUGGUCUUUUAUUUCUCAUCACCCAUUGUAGGCUCAUCUAACCAUUUUACAUCACCAAUUUGAUAAGAGCAAUGUGUUAAUGACCCAAGCAAUCAUCCAGGUCUGGUUGAAUUAGGGAGAGCAGGUGAAUUAGCACUAACAAAGUCCACAGAGGUGGCACCAUGUGUCAAGGUCACACAGCAAAACUAGGGCCUGAAUUAAGAGGAAAAUCUUCAUCAUGACCCUCUGCCCCCUGUUCCUCAGCCCUUUAGUUCUCAGGCAGUUCCACUUAAAGCCAUGUGUGCAUGUUUCCAGAUAAGCCACAUCUAGUAGGGGUACCUGAACAUCCUGCUUCCCUCCUCUAUACCUGUGGCCUGGUCCCUUUUGCAAUAUUAAUCUGGCUCUUA